RNAcentral lists this ribosomal RNA (1358 nucleotides) under uncultured eukaryote. Its description in RNAcentral is "SSU rRNA". It matches the Rfam family "Eukaryotic small subunit ribosomal RNA", at positions 83 to 1472 of the family's 1831-position model. The record is from RNAcentral.
GAAACUGCGAAUGGCUCAUUAAAUCAGUUAUCGUUUAUUUGGUGGUACCUUACUACAUGGAUGACCGUGGUAAUUCUAGAGCUAAUACAUGCUAAAAACCUCGACUUCGGAAGGGGUGUAUUUAUUAGAUAAAAAACCAAUGCCCUUCGGGGCUCCUUGGUGAAUCAUAAUAACUUAACGAAUCGCAUGGCCUUGCGCCGGCGAUGGUUCAUUCAAAUUUCUGCCCUAUCAACUUUCGAUGGUAGGAUAGUGGCCUACCAUGGUAUCAACGGGUAACGGGGAAUUAGGGUUCGACUCCGGAGAGGGAGCCUGAGAAACGGCUACCACAUCCAAGGAAGGCAGCAGGCGCGCAAAUUACCCAAUCCCGACACGGGGAGGUAGUGACAAUAAAUACUGAUACAGGGCUCUUUUGGGUCUUGUAAUUGGAAUGAGUACAAUUUAAAUCCCUUAACGAGGAACAAUUGGAGGGCAAGUCUGGUGCCAGCAGCCGCGGUAAUUCCAGCUCCAAUAGCGUAUAUUAAAGUUGUUGCAGUUAAAAAGCUCGUAGUUGAACCUUGGGCCUGGCUGGCCGGUCCGCCUCACCGCGUGUACUGGUCCGGCCGGGCCUUUCCUUCUGGGGAACCUCAUGCCCUUCACUGGGCGUGUUGGGGAACCAGGACUUUUACUUUGAAAAAAUUAGAGUGUUCAAAGCAGGCCUUUGCUCGAAUACAUUAGCAUGGAAUAAUAGAAUAGGACGUGUGGUUCUAUUUUGUUGGUUUCUAGGACCGCCGUAAUGAUUAAUAGGGAUAGUCGGGGGCAUCAGUAUUCAAUCGUCAGAGGUGAAAUUCUUGGAUUGAUUGAAGACUAACUACUGCGAAAGCAUUUGCCAAGGAUGUUUUCAUUAAUCAGUGAACGAAAGUUAGGGGAUCGAAGACGAUCAGAUACCGUCGUAGUCUUAACCAUAAACUAUGCCGACUAGGGAUCGGACGGUGUUAGUAUUUUGACCCGUUCGGCACCUUACGAGAAAUCAAAGUUUUUGGGUUCUGGGGGGAGUAUGGUCGCAAGGCUGAAACUUAAAGAAAUUGACGGAAGGGCACCACCAGGCGUGUGACUGCGGCUUAAUUUGACUCAACACGGGGAAACUCACCAGGUCCAGACACAAUAAGGAUUGACAGAUUGAGAGCUCUUUCUUGAUUUUGUGGGUGGUGGUGCAUGGCCGUUCUUAGUUGGUGGAGUGAUUUGUCUGCUUAAUUGCGAUAACGAACGAGACCUUAACCUGCUAAAUAGCCAGGCCCCCCCCCGCGGGUCGCCGGCUUCUUAGAGGGACUAUCGGCUCAAGCCGAUGGAAGUUUGAGGCAAUACACAGGUCUGUGAUGCCC